RNAcentral lists this ribosomal RNA (1032 nucleotides) under uncultured eukaryote. RNAcentral describes it as "SSU rRNA". It matches the Rfam family "Eukaryotic small subunit ribosomal RNA", at positions 577 to 1631 of the family's 1831-position model. The record is from RNAcentral.
CGGUAAUUCCAGCUCCAAUGGUGUAUGCUAACAUUGUUGCAGUUAAAAAGCUCGUAGUCGAAUUUUUAAGGGAACCAAUUUCGUGUGGUCUUAAUGAACUACAAAGGAAUAUGGUUUAUCUUAUUUUAUGCUUGUACACCGUUGGAAUUCGUUUUCUGACGGUGAGUUAAGUUUGUGUUUAUUUUGAAAAAAUUAGAGUGUUCUAAGCAGUCUUACGGCUUUAUCCUAAAGCAUGGAAUGAUAAGUAAUGACAUCGGUUAAUUUCUGUUGGUUUGAGAUGCUGAUGUAAUGAUUUAUAGAGUUAGUCGGAGGUAUUAGUAUUUUGUCGUUAGAGGUGAAAUUCCGGGAUCGACAAAAGACUAACAACUGUGAAAGCAUUUGCCUAGGAUUUGCUCCUUGAUCAAGAACGUAAGUUGGGGGAUCGAAGACGAUCAGAUACCGUCGUAGUCUCAACUUUAAACUAUAUCAGCUAGGGGUUGGCAAAUGUUUAUAUAACUUUGUUAGAACCUUGGGAGAAAUCUAAGCGUUUGGGUUCCGGGGGGAGUAUGGUCGCAAGGCUGAAACUUAAAGGAAUUGACGGAAGGGCACCACAAGAUGUGGAUCCUGUGGCUUAAUUUGACUCAACACUGGAAAACUUACCAGGUCCAGACAUAGGUAAGAUUGACAGACUGAUAGCUCUUUCUUGAUUCUAUGGGGUGGCGGGGCAUGUCCGUUCUUAGGGGGUGGAGUGUUUGGUUUGGUUAAUUCCGUUACCGAACGAGACUAUUACAUAUUAAAUAGUAUAAUAUUUUAAUUAGGAUAGUUGCUUAUUAGAGGGACUGACUUAGCAUAAAGGAAUGGAAGUUCGUAGCCAUAUCAGGUCUGUCAUGCCAUUUGAUGUCCUGGGCAGCGCACGCAAUACAAUAGGAGAGUAACUGAGCUUGUUCUACUUAACUCGAAAUGGGCUGUGAAAUCUCAAAUCUAUUCUUUAAUUGGGAUCGCGCUAUGAAAUUUUUUCGUGCAAGCCAGGAAUACAUAGUAAGGGUAUGUCAU